UUCUGUCAUUUUUGUAUAUAUGUACAUAUUAUAUUUUCGUAACAUGACGCGUGAAAACAUUUUUUAUUAUCUUUACCGCAAUAUUGAGUAUAAGAUAUACUAGAUAUUUUUCCAAAGGAUGACAAGGGUAUUGAAGGUGCCAGAAUUGAAUUUAUCGAAUAUAGAAAUCCAUGUAAAAACAUGCAAUUUAAAUUAAAGAAAUUAGGAAACUACCUCAUUAUUUAGUUUCAGUUAAAUUUAACUUUUGUUGAAUUUAAUUGAAAAACAAAUAAUAUAUGUAUAAAUAUUCAAUUAAUAUUUAUAUAAAUUCCAAGUACUUUUUCAUUUCCAUCUACAUCAUACAUAUUUCUACUGACAACAAAAAAUUAAUUUCAUCAAAUCUUUUCGAUUUACUCCAGAAAAAAUACCAGUAUCUCCUCUGAUUAAAUCCAACAGAGCCAACAUAUCGAGCCAGAAUUCCUCACCUCAUAUAAAAGGUUAAACUAACAAAAGCUAUCCUUGAAACCAUCCCUCGAUAAUUCCCUCAUAAAACAUUCCAGGAUAAAAGAAGAGAAAGAAGAGAGAAAAAAAGAGGGGGAAAAAAAAAAAACAAAACCAAUUCUCGUAUAUACUUUUCCACCGUCGAAAAAGCAACAUCUCAAAUUUUCAUUCAGAUCUUUCCAAUAAAGUAAAAACCAAAAAAAAAAAACACGCGUUCCCCCUUUCACUCUCCAUCUUCCAUCGAAUUUCCAUCACCGUUAAUCCACUCGAAACUCCGAAUCCCAAACUCCAAAAACCGACGGAAGAAAAAGAAGAAGAAGAAGAAAGAAAAACAAAAAAAAUCAAAUCCACCUCUCCGAUCCUCCCAUCCUCCCCGAAUUUCCAAAAAUUCCGCGCGAUUACUUUCGCCGCGACCGCAACCGCGAAAAAUCAACCCCACCACGCCACCCGCCUAUCCUCCCCUCCCUCGAUCAACUUUCUCUCCUCGUGAAAACCACGGAGCGGCCUCCUCCUGGACGCAGUUGAAUCGAGCGCGCGUUUUCGCGGGGGUGCCGCGCCACGCCGUUCCGAGCCUGAGGAACGAAAAGGUAGGGUUGGGCAGGGAGGAGGGCCAGGGAGAGGAGCGACGAGGGCAGAGGGGCGACGCGUUAUCCGCUAUUCGUACCCCGGGCAAGGGAACCGAUCGUUACUGGAAAACUCGGCGCGGCGGUGGAGGGGCCUUUUCAUUUUCCAAAGGGGGCGCGCACAGUUUUGCUGCCUCUCUCUCACUCUCUCUCUCUCUCUCUCUCUCGCACCAACGCGUACGUGGGAGAGAGGCUGGCGGCGGCGGCAGCAGCUGGUGGUGGCGAUGGAAGGAGAGAGCGGAAGACACGAAAUUCGCCCUUCUACGGGGCGUCGAGACACGCGCGACGUUAACACGACCCGGCUACGGAGGAGGGGCGGGAGGGAGAAGGACGAGACGAGACGAGACGAGAGCGCAGCCGUCUCCGAUCGGGAGAGAUCCGUUGUAUCAGCAGUAUCGAUCAUUACUAGUGGACUAUCUUUCCGGUCUGAACGGUUUAAGCCGCGUAUGAAGUUACGGAUACGAUUGUACCCGACUGCCGGGUGACUUUCGUCUCGGGCUGCGUCUCGAAUAAUAAUAGGACGGCCCGCACCUCUCUAUAUAAAUUUCAGAAUUACGCCUUCAAAGUCGUCCGUGAUAUUUGCAACGGUCCUCAGAGUCGGUGCACCUUCUCUGCCUAUAUCGGGGUGUUUGGCUGUGGAAUCGAGGCCUGUCGACCUUGGGAUCCGUCGCGGAAAAGGAAGGCGAGACGCUGACGAGACGAGUUGCGAGAGAGGGAGGGUUGUGAGAGGAGGUGUAGAGCGGUGCGGGGUGGCUAAUGGAUAUUGUUUGAAACGGUGGAGGAUGGACCAUGGUUGCGUUGGUUUUCCAGGAAAAAUGGAUCCUUUUUUCUUCCCCGCCCCCUUCCCAACUUCUUGCGGUGAAAUCAAGGGGAUGAGAUGGAUGGUUUCUGCGGCGUACUUUUUCGGGAUAAGUUGGUGGAAAUUUUUUCUUUCACACGUAUUCGAUAUCUGUUUGAAUUGUUAUUUAUCAUGUAAAUAUUGGAUAAAAAAGUCCAACGAAAUUUUUGAAUUUCUCUUCGAUUUUAUACAUUUAAACCGUAUAUUGUAAUUUAUUAUAUAUAUAUAUUUUUUUCAAUUAAGUUUGAUGAUGGAAUUUUAAUUAUAAUAUCUUGAUUAGAAUAAGAAGAACGAAGAGGAUUAUAUUUUUUGUUAAUUAAUCCUCGCGUUUAAAAAAGAAGAUUUUCCCCUCCUUUUUUCCCCUCUUUUUAUUAUAUCGUUGUAAAAUAAUUGAUGGAUAAAGAUGACAGGAAACGUGAUGGAGAUUGCAGUCGAUAACUGUCAAUAUUUUUUGGAACGCUCAUUCUUGGAACGAGAAUGAUUUUACAUAUUUUGUUGACUGUUCGUCGUUUUACAGAAUAUUUUUGCGGGUGAGUAGGAAAUUUUUCCAGACAACAUCUGUCGAUCGCAGAGAACUGCGAGCGUUUGACGCAACAAAGAACGAUACGUUUGCAACGAAAAAAAUUUUGACACGGAAAAGAUCCGACAUUGCUCUUUUUCCAUAGAGAAGGAUCAAAUUCUCUAUCGACGAAAUUUUAAAAAUAUUUAUAUCGAGCUCCGUUCGUAUUUUCAAAACACGCGUGAUUCGCUCAUCAAAAAAUUUUGAACGGAAAUAUCUUUCUUGAAAAAUAUAUUUUUGGUAUCGAGUAAAGAAGAAAAAGAUUGGGAUAAAAUUAGGAAAUUUCGUUUAUAGAAUUCCACUUUCACUUUGUUUAAUUUGUGCAUAUUUGUAAGAUACGUUUGGAUUUGCGUUUAUUGGAUUCUCCCUUAAAAUAAAUUAAAUAAAUUUUCAAUAAAUCACGGUGUAUUAAUAUCACAGAUCACAGAGGGUGUAUACAACCUAGAUGACAUUUUCACUUCAUGGUUCAGUUCGCGUUUCAUUCGUGCAACAUCCCAUGAGUUUCAUUGCUUCUCUCCGAGUUUAUAAGGUAUUUCCAUGCAAACGAAUCACUUAAGUGUAUUUCCAACAUCCGAGAAUUCGCUACGCGAGCAGUCGAUUUUUCGAUAUUCCCUGACGACAUCGAUGAAAUGCAAAUUCUCGACAAUAUCGUCCCACUAUAGGACAUCCUCCUCCAUUCUUUGUAUCUUUCCAUCCAACUUCUCAAUCGUUACAGAAGGAAUGCAAUAUUUCUGUAUCGUGGAACAGAAAAAUUGCAGAUACUUUCUCUUUGGAUAAAAAAAAAGGUCACGAGUGCAAAGAAUCAUUUCUCAGAAUAAAAGGAGAAUCAUUCGAUCAAAAUUGUAAUCAAAGUUAGGGAAAAGAGAUGUUCGUAAUAGAAGAAUUAAAUAUAUAUAUAUAUUUAAAAUUAUUUAACCCUUAAUACGACAGAAUAUCAUCGAUAAUUUUAUCGAUAAUUAAUUAAAAGCAAGAAACUUUUCUCUUCGUCGAAAAAUUUUCAUGUUUCGCAAUAUCGCAAUAUUUUGCAACGAGAAGAGAUAUAUAUCCGUGGUGACACGAUACACAUAAUCAUUCUGUACGAUCCACGCGAAUAAACGACUCGUGUACGUGUGUACAAACACGAUAUAUCCACGGAACGCUACGAUUUCACGAAACAGACCGAAUAAAGGAGUAAUAGGUGACGCGUUGUACUUCAAUCUCGGGGAAACAUUUCAGCCUUACUAGAAAGAUAAAACUCACCAUUCCCUCAAACGUUUGGGGUUCAGAGUUCGAGCGUUUUGUGGCCUCGCCCGUUUCAUUUCCCAUUUUACGACCAAGAUAAACCUGAUUUCUUUACGCCUACUUUCACGAGCAGCUUUUCCUCCCCACCCCCUAUUUUUCGGGAAGGAAGGGAAAACUUCAUAGCACGUACAGCACGUAUACACGUCACGUGACCAUCGUUCGCUAAAAACCAUUCGUUUAUUAAUUUAAUCUGUAGAAAUUGAAAUCGUUGUCUCUCUUUUUCAUCCUUUUUCUUCUUUCCUUCUUUUUUAUUUUUUAUUUUUAAUUCUUUUCUUGCGCGAUGCAUAUAUCGAAAAGCAAAUAAAAUGCACGUUAAAGAACGUUUUAUUUUUUCCGGUGUAUCGUGUUUCCACAAUUACACAUGAAUAUUAAAAGUAAUUGUUAAAGUCGAUUAUUAAUAAUAAUAUUUCCAGUGAAAAUUAAACGCUAAAAAUACAACGGAAAUUCCUUCUUACUCUACAUUAAAAAUAGAA
This is a long non-coding RNA of Apis mellifera (honey bee), 4254 nucleotides long. RefSeq lists it as uncharacterized. Lineage: Eukaryota; Metazoa; Arthropoda; Insecta; Hymenoptera; Apidae. The record is from RefSeq and is a predicted model, not a curated record. The transcript has 2 exons.